GACGAACGCUGGCGGCGUGCUUAACACAUGCAAGUCGAACGGAAAGGCCCUGCUUUUGUGGGUUGCUCGCGUGGGGAACGGGUGAGUAAAACGUAAGUAACUUGCCUUUGUCUUUGGGUUAACUUAAGGAAACUGGGCCUAAUACCGGAUAGGAGCUCUUGCGGCAUGGUGGGGGUUGGAAAGUUUGCGCGGUUUGGGAUGGAUUCGCGGCUUAUCAGCUGGUUGGUGGGGUAGUGGUUAGCCAAGGGUUGGACGGGUAGCCGGCCUGGGAGGGUGCCCGGCCACAUUGGGACUGAGAUACGGCCCAGACUCCUACGGGAGGCAGCAGUGGGGAAUAUUGCACAAUGGGCGGAAGCGUGAUGCAGCAACGCCGCGUGCGGGAUGACGGCCUUCGGGUUGUAAACCGCUUUCGCCUGUAACGAAGCGUGAGUGACGGUAAUGGGUAAAGAAGCACCGGCUAACUACGUG
This 468-nucleotide ribosomal RNA is filed under the name uncultured bacterium. Its description in RNAcentral is "partial 16S ribosomal RNA". It matches the Rfam family "Bacterial small subunit ribosomal RNA", at positions 28 to 507 of the family's 1533-position model. The record is from RNAcentral.